GCAGUCGAGCGGACAGAUGGGAGCUUGCUCCCUGAUGUUAGCGGCGGACGGGUGAGUAACACGUGGGUAACCUGCCUGUAAGACUGGGAUAACUCCGGGAAACCGGGGCUAAUACCGGAUGGUUGUUUGAACCGCAUGGUUCAAACAUAAAAGGUGGCUUCGGCUACCACUUACAGAUGGACCCGCGGCGCAUUAGCUAGUUGGUGAGGUAACGGCUCACCAAGGCAACGAUGCGUAGCCGACCUGAGAGGGUGAUCGGCCACACUGGGACUGAGACACGGCCCAGACUCCUACGGGAGGCAGCAGUAGGGAAUCUUCCGCAAUGGACGAAAGUCUGACGGAGCAACGCCGCGUGAGUGAUGAAGGUUUUCGGAUCGUAAAGCUCUGUUGUUAGGGAAGAACAAGUACCGUUCGAAUAGGGCGGUACCUUGACGGUACCUAACCAGAAAGCCACGGCUAACUACGUGCCAGCAGCCGCGGUAAUACGUAGGUGGCAAGCGUUGUCCGGAAUUAUUGGGCGUAAAGGGCUCGCAGGCGGUUUCUUAAGUCUGAUGUGAAAGCCCCCGGCUCAACCGGGGAGGGUCAUUGGAAACUGGGGAACUUGAGUGCAGAAGAGGAGAGUGGAAUUCCACGUGUAGCGGUGAAAUGCGUAGAGAUGUGGAGGAACACCAGUGGCGAAGGCGACUCUCUGGUCUGUAACUGACGCUGAGGAGCGAAAGCGUGGGGGAGCGAACAGGAUUAGAUACCCUGGUAGUCCACGCCGUAAACGAUGAGUGCUAAGUGUUAGGGGGUUUCCGCCC
RNAcentral lists this ribosomal RNA (800 nucleotides) under Bacillus subtilis. RNAcentral's name for it is "bacterial SSU rRNA". It matches the Rfam family "Bacterial small subunit ribosomal RNA", at positions 57 to 838 of the family's 1533-position model. The record is from RNAcentral. Lineage: Bacteria; Bacillati; Bacillota; Bacilli; Caryophanales; Bacillaceae.